AGUGUGACACUCGGCCAUUGAGGCUGUGCGCGUUUACGCGGUGACACUCACAUUGUGUGUGGCGUGCCUUCGGGGCUUCCACCGGUGUGGCAUCUUCUAAUAGCCGCGUCGGAUUACCAGCUGUUUAUUGACUCACUAACGGACCCAUCGUAUGAUUUCUGUGUGCAUGUGAUUUACGUGUGUGUGCGCGCCGAUAUUAAAUCAGGGAAAUCUCUUUGCCCGCUUUAAAGCAAGGUUGAGCAGCUACAUUAACAACUUGCUAUCAGAACCUCUUGCUUUUUGAGCCACGUCUGCUGCUUUGGAGGAAAUCGAACUGAUUGCUGUGAUUCCAUCCCGUUUGCUGUUCAGGCGAGCUGUUUUAGGCUCGAGUGGGCCUGAAUG
Carassius carassius (crucian carp) is the source of this 381-nucleotide long non-coding RNA. RefSeq lists it as uncharacterized. The record is from RefSeq and is a predicted model, not a curated record. NCBI's taxonomy places the organism in Eukaryota, Metazoa, Chordata, Actinopteri, Cypriniformes, Cyprinidae. The transcript has 3 exons.